AACAACACCAGCAACAACAACUACAACAACUACAACAACAUCGGUGGCAAACACAGGGAAUCCACCUCUUCUUCUGGUGUUUGGAAUAGUUGUCUCCUUCCUCCUCCUCCUCGUCAUCAUCAUCGUCGUCGUCUACUUUACUCGCAGGUUGAAAAGACGAGGAAGAAGAGAAAUUAGCCCCGUCUAUGAUGAGAUACAGGAUGGGUCGGUGUUUCAGCCGUCAAAUGCAGGUGGACCAACUGCUAUAUACUCCCUGGCAGAUUUUCCAGCUGGAUCAAACAAUAAUGAUCCCACGUACUCCACCAUCCCGGAUCUUCUUCCAGUGGUGAAGACAAGCGACACAUCUCUACCCAAUGAGUCCACAUAUUCCUUUGUUGGCAGCACUUUUAUUGGUGGAAACGAUAAAGGUUCAUUACAGCUCACUGACGAUUCCUAUUCUUUACUGCAGAAACCAGUGGGCAACCUCCGUGUCUGAAAAGUGAAGCCAACGCUGAAGUGCCUUAAACCUGCAUUCUCUCUAACAGCCAGCAGGGGGCGACUCCUCUGGUUGCUAAAAGAAGUCUGAUUGUA
Long non-coding RNA from Sebastes umbrosus (honeycomb rockfish), 570 nucleotides. RefSeq lists it as uncharacterized. The record is from RefSeq and is a predicted model, not a curated record. Lineage: Eukaryota; Metazoa; Chordata; Actinopteri; Perciformes; Sebastidae. The transcript has 7 exons.